Molecule: ribosomal RNA, 548 nt
Filed under: uncultured Glomeromycotina
Lineage: Eukaryota; Fungi; Glomeromycota
Description: SSU rRNA
Rfam family: Eukaryotic small subunit ribosomal RNA
Source: RNAcentral
UUGGAGGGCAAGUCUGGUGCCAGCAGCCGCGGUAAUUCCAGCUCCAAUAGCGUAUAUUAAAGUUGUUGCAGUUAAAAAGCUCGUAGUUGAAUUUCGGGAUCAGAGUGUCGGUCGUGCCUCGGUACGCACUGGUAUUAUUGGUUCCUACCUUCUGAAGAACCGCGAUGUCAUUAAUUUGGUGCCGUGGGGAAUCAGGACUGUUACUUUGAAAAAAUUAGAGUGUUUAAAGCAGGCUUACGCUUGAAUACAUUAGCAUGGAAUAAUGAAAUAGGACGUUUGAUUCUAUUUUGUUGGUUUCUAGGAUUGACGUAAUGAUUAAUAGGGAUAGUUGGGGGCAUUAGUAUUCAAUUGUCAGAGGUGAAAUUCUUAGAUUUAUUGAAGACUAACUACUGCGAAAGCAUUUGCCAAGGAUGUUUUCAUUAAUCAAGAACGAAAGUUAGGGGAUCGAAGACGAUCAGAUACCGUCGUAGUCUUAACCAUAAACUAUGCCGACUAGGGAUCGGAUGAUGUUAAUUUUUUAAUGACUCAUUCGGCGCCUUACGGGAAAC